This 979-nucleotide long non-coding RNA is filed under the name Sorghum bicolor (sorghum). RNAcentral describes it as "long non-coding RNA (SBIC_LNC011022)". The record is from RNAcentral. Lineage: Eukaryota; Viridiplantae; Streptophyta; Magnoliopsida; Poales; Poaceae.
UCAUAUGUGGUAUUUUUGGAUCAUCUCCAAGGCAAGUGUAAAGAUGCCUUCUCUCUCUCACCCUACUUCUAAUAGGCUUAUGUGGAGCUUAUAGGUGGGAGAGACAAUUCAAACCUACUUGCAUGUAUUGCAUAGUUAAACCAUGGAUCUAGAGAAACUAUUUAUACAAUCAAAUCAUAUGUGCAUGUGAGCGCAGUGAAUGAAAUGAGUGAUAAGAAUGAAAGUAGUUAUGAGGGGUGAUGACUGAUGGUGAACAUCUAAUUCUACAAUUGCUCCUCGUGAAUAACAUACCUCCCUAAUCUGAUAACAAGGACUUGGUUGUAUUUCUUUUCUUUUGGGACCUUUUGUCCUCUUUCUUUUCUUUUCUUUCUCUUCUUUUUUUAGAUCAGCCAACCCUUUUAAUGCACUAAUAACAAUAGGGAGUAUCAACUGAAACAACUGAAGCUUUAUUGGAUAAGUAGAAUAAGACAUUGAAUAUUUUUGGUGUCUUCUCCUAGUGUAGGAGUAGAACAUUUUCUAAGUGGAUGUGGAAUGUGGAUGGAUGAAUGCGUACUCCUAGGGUAGAAGCAGCAUAUAGUGUAGUGAGUAUAUGUGGGUGGCACUUCUAGGAAUAGAAGUAGCACAUAGUGAAUGUGGUGGAUGUAAGUGGUUGCGUACUUCUGAGGAUAGAAGUAGCUAAGAUCAAUGGAUGGAGAGCACAUAAUAUUGACUUUAACUGCAUGACUAGUUCCUUAGGGUCUACACAGCUUAACUACCCUCAAUGCUUAUAGGUUGAAACAUAAGUAGAGGUUUUCCUAAUCUAGCAAGCAUGAGUAUUUGGUUGUGGUAGGAAUUUUAAAACUCUCGUCAUAAAGGAACUCAUCAUGUAGUAAUUUAAGAUUUUCAAAUAUAAUUCUCCAGAACUAUAGCAUCUCUAGGAGCAAGACUGAUAGCAGCUGAAAACCUUCCCAUACCAUAUCUGUCAACUACCUAGACUUAG